UACGUAUGGGGCGAGCGUUGUCCGGAAUCAUUGGUCGUAAAGGGUUCGUAGGCGGUUUAUUAAGUCGAGUGUGAAAGGUUGGGGCUCAACCCCAUAAAGCAUUCGAAACUGAUAAACUUGAGAUGUGGAGAGGAAAGUGGAAUUCCUAGUGUAGCGGUGACAUGCGUAGAUAUUAGGAGGAAUACCAGUAGCGAAGGCGACUUUCUGGACACAUACUGACGCUAAGGAACGAAAGCGUGGGGAGCAAACAGGAUUAGAUACCCCGGUAGUCCCUGAGCGGG
Molecule: ribosomal RNA, 281 nt
Filed under: uncultured prokaryote
Description: partial 16S ribosomal RNA
Rfam family: Bacterial small subunit ribosomal RNA
Source: RNAcentral